This 229-nucleotide long non-coding RNA is filed under the name Capsicum annuum. RNAcentral's name for it is "long non-coding RNA (CANN_LNC001266)". The record is from RNAcentral. Lineage: Eukaryota; Viridiplantae; Streptophyta; Magnoliopsida; Solanales; Solanaceae.
CAGGAAUAAGAAAUGAUAAAAAUAGUAAUCGCAGAAAUACAAAAUAUGAGAAAAUACUGGCGACAUGAAAUAAGACAAAAAGGAACUAAGACAUAAGAAAAAGGGCACCCACCUAUGUACACAGUUCUAGGGUUACUUCCCCGGUUCCACAAGAUCUCUCCUAACUGCAUGCUACAACCCACACACUCACACUAGCCUUCUACCCUUAUCCGCGCCCUCUACACCUUUC